RNAcentral lists this ribosomal RNA (96 nucleotides) under Ruminococcus sp. AM58-7XD. RNAcentral describes it as "partial 23S ribosomal RNA". It matches the Rfam family "Bacterial large subunit ribosomal RNA", at positions 2830 to 2925 of the family's 2925-position model. The record is from RNAcentral. Lineage: Bacteria; Bacillati; Bacillota; Clostridia; Eubacteriales; Oscillospiraceae.
AAACCCCCUUGAAGACGACGAGGUAGAUAGGGCAGAGGUGGAAGUGCAGUAAUGCAUGGAGCUGACUGUUACUAAUCGGGUGAGGGCUUGACCAAA